This 692-nucleotide ribosomal RNA is filed under the name Bacillus sp. 70Tp12b. RNAcentral describes it as "bacterial SSU rRNA". It matches the Rfam family "Bacterial small subunit ribosomal RNA", at positions 107 to 785 of the family's 1533-position model. Lineage: Bacteria; Bacillati; Bacillota; Bacilli; Caryophanales; Bacillaceae. The record is from RNAcentral.
UGAGUAACACGUGGGCAACCUGCCUAUAAGACUGGGAUAACUUCGGGAAACCGGAGCUAAUACCGGAUACGUUCUUUUCUCGCAUGAGAGAAGAUGGAAAGACGGUUUACGCUGUCACUUAUAGAUGGGCCCGCGGCGCAUUAGCUAGUUGGUGAGGUAAUGGCUCACCAAGGCGACGAUGCGUAGCCGACCUGAGAGGGUGAUCGGCCACACUGGGACUGAGACACGGCCCAGACUCCUACGGGAGGCAGCAGUAGGGAAUCUUCCGCAAUGGACGAAAGUCUGACGGAGCAACGCCGCGUGAACGAAGAAGGCCUUCGGGUCGUAAAGUUCUGUUGUUAGGGAAGAACAAGUACCAGAGUAACUGCUGGUACCUUGACGGUACCUAACCAGAAAGCCACGGCUAACUACGUGCCAGCAGCCGCGGUAAUACGUAGGUGGCAAGCGUUGUCCGGAAUUAUUGGGCGUAAAGCGCGCGCAGGUGGUUCCUUAAGUCUGAUGUGAAAGCCCACGGCUCAACCGUGGAGGGUCAUUGGAAACUGGGGAACUUGAGUGCAGAAGAGGAAAGUGGAAUUCCAAGUGUAGCGGUGAAAUGCGUAGAGAUUUGGAGGAACACCAGUGGCGAAGGCGACUUUCUGGUCUGUAACUGACACUGAGGCGCGAAAGCGUGGGGAGCAAACAGGAUUAGAUAC